Molecule: long non-coding RNA, 720 nt
Filed under: Homo sapiens (human)
Lineage: Eukaryota; Metazoa; Chordata; Mammalia; Primates; Hominidae
Description: HSALNT0367976
Source: RNAcentral
GCAAAAUUUAACUCAAUAUAACAAGAAGUCUUAAUCCUGAAUGCUAUAGGAACAAGAAAUGGUCUUCUGGUUGCAAUCUAGAAACAGGACCAGGAAGUCCUUCUGAUGGGGUUGGCUGGCAUCAUUGAGUCCACAGUAGAGAAAACUGAUACCUAACCUGAAGAACUGCCCUAAAAAGAGGGGUUACAGCAUCUGCAUCCCAGAUUGUGGGAACAGAGAUGGCCCAGACAAGGCAGACUCCCUGUGGCUCAAAAGCUAAAAGCAGAACCAAGAGGCCAUAGCAGAGUGAGGGAGUGAUCAUGCACUCUGUAUCUGUCAAAACUAUUGUAAAACCAGUUUUUCUGCAAUCAAGUCAAAGAACAGUUCCUGAAAACAAUGUCAAAAACAACUACAGCUGGAAAUUCCCCAACUGACCACCAAUAGGUUACCUGGUGCCAGCCAAUUACCUGGAAUCAGCCAACUAAGAGAGACUGGUUAUUUGGGAGAUCAAAGGUUUUCCAAUCAAGACUGUGUUCCUCACUCCCUGACUCCUCUUCUGGCCUGCAAUCUUCAUCUUUAUGAUAUAUAACUCUCCAAUCCCCUCCUUAGAGUGCACUUUUGUUUUGCACUGAAGGCUGUCUCCUCAAUCUGCAGGUUGCUUUUAGAAAAUAAAGUUCUCCUUUUGCCUCCACAAGAGAUCUCAUUGCUCUUUUGUUAACAUUUCAAAUGCAACAGAAUAUU